RNAcentral lists this signal recognition particle RNA (296 nucleotides) under Piliocolobus tephrosceles (Ugandan red Colobus). RNAcentral describes it as "Metazoan signal recognition particle RNA (ENSPTEG00000029083.1)". It matches the Rfam family "Metazoan signal recognition particle RNA". From Rfam's summary of the family: The signal recognition particle (SRP) is a universally conserved ribonucleoprotein. The record is from RNAcentral. Lineage: Eukaryota; Metazoa; Chordata; Mammalia; Primates; Cercopithecidae.
GCUAGGUUUGGUGGCACACGCCUACAGCCCCAGCUACUUGGGAGGCUGAAGCAGGAGGAUCCCUAGAGCCCAGGAAUUCUGGGCUGUGGUGCACUAUGCCGGUUGGGUGUAAGUUUGGCAUCAAUAUGGUGGUGAUCUCCCUGAAGCGGGAAACCACAAACUUGCCUAAGGAGGGGUGAACCCAGCCCAGAUUGGAAAUGGAGCAGGCCAAAACUCCCAGGCUGAUCAGUAAUGGGAUCUUGCCUAUGAAUAGCCAGUGCACUGCAGCCUGGGCAACAGAGUGAGAACCUGUCUUA